RNAcentral lists this ribosomal RNA (1271 nucleotides) under uncultured Bacteroidota bacterium. RNAcentral's name for it is "bacterial SSU rRNA". It matches the Rfam family "Bacterial small subunit ribosomal RNA", at positions 233 to 1502 of the family's 1533-position model. The record is from RNAcentral. Lineage: Bacteria; Pseudomonadati; Bacteroidota.
UCGACUGAAUACAUAGGUCUCGUAGUAGCAGCAUAUCGGCUCACUCCCGCUUAGCUAUGCUUGACAUGACGGGUCAGCGAACGAGAUGAUCGCGCAACCCUGCUACUGAAUACUCGACCAGACUCCAUCGGGAGUCAUGCAGUAUGGAUACUAGUCAUGCACGCCAGUCCGAUCCAGGCAUGACGCUUCAGAUGACGACCUAUGGGUUGUGAACUGAAUUUAUAUGGGAGAUACCCCGUGAUGCGUUAGGGGCUGACGUAUCCAGUAUGAGUAAGGAUCGGCUAACGUCGUGCAGCAGCCGCGGUAAGACGAAGGAUACUAGCAUUGUCCGGAUUUACUGCGUUUAAAGGGUGUGUAGGCGGGAGAUUAAGUCAGUGGUGAAAGCCCUCAGCUCAACUGAGGAACUGCCAUAGAAAGUGUUUUCUGAAUAUGGUUGAGGUAGAUGGAAUAUAACAUGUAGCGGUGAAAUGCUUAGAUAUGUUAUAGAACACCGAUUGCCAAGGCAGUCUGCUAAGCCAUUAUUGACGCUGAGGCACGAAAGCGUGGGGAGCAAACAGGAUUAGAUACCCUGGUAGUCCACACCCUAAACGUUGAUUACUCGCUGUUGGCGAUACACUGUCAGCGGCUAAGCGAAAGCGUUAAGUAAUCCACCUGGGAAGUACGUCCGCAAGGAUGAAACUCAAAGGAAUUGACGGGGGCCCGCACAAGCGGAGGAGCAUGUGGUUUAAUUCGAUGAUACGCGAGAAACCUUACCUAGGUUUAAAUGUCAGGUGACGAAUGCCGAAAGGUGUUUUCCCUUCGGGGCAACUGGCAAGGUGCUGCAUGGUUGUCGUCAGUUCGUGCCGUGAGGUGUUGGUUUAAGUCCCGCAACGAGCGCAACCCCCAUCUUUAGUUGUUAACAGGUAAUGCUGAGGACUCUGAAGAAACCGCCUACGCAAGUAGUGAGGAAGGCGGGGAGGACGUCAAGUCAUCAUGGCCCUUACGCCUAGGGUUACACACGUGCUACAAUGGAUGGUACAAUGAGAUGCCAGCUGGUAACAUUGCGCAAACCUCAAAAGCCAUUCUCAGUUCGGAUUGAGGUCUGCAACUCGACCUCAGGAAGCUGGAUUCGCUAGUAAUCGUAUAUCAGCAUUGAUACGGUGAAUACGUUCCCGGGCCUUGUACACACCGCCCGUCAAGCCAUGUAAGCCGGGAGAACCUGAAGUCGAUAACCGCAAGGAGUCGCCUAGGGUUAUAUUAGUAACUGGGGCUAAGUCGUAACAAGGUAACCA